Non-coding RNA from Vicia faba (fava bean), 204 nucleotides. The record is from the annotation of a GenBank genome assembly. NCBI's taxonomy places the organism in Eukaryota, Viridiplantae, Streptophyta, Magnoliopsida, Fabales, Fabaceae.
AUGAGCCUGCUCUUGGCUCAAUCAAUGAUUGAUUUUUGCAUCGUAUUUGGCUUCACUCUUGACAGGCAAAAUAUUGUCAUUUUGGAGGCACGGUCUUUGAUUGGCUGCCGUCAUCAGAGGGCAGCAUUCCAAUUUGUUAGUCAAGCCAAAAGUGUCAUGAAAGAGGACAGGUCUUUGAUGGAGAAGGAAGAUUUGGGUAGUUAG